This 667-nucleotide transfer RNA is filed under the name uncultured cyanobacterium. RNAcentral's name for it is "partial 16S-23S ribosomal RNA intergenic spacer". The stretch from base 240 to 312 matches the Rfam family "tRNA". The record is from RNAcentral. Lineage: Bacteria; Bacillati; Cyanobacteriota.
CAGGGAGACAAAAAAUUGAUUGUGAUGUCUAAGUAUUUUCUCUUAGGCCGCAAUCCUGUCACCUUAGGUCGAUCGGUACCUCAGAUUAAUUUUAUUUUUAAUAAAUUGAUUUCAGUUCCUAAACUUGUCUAGGUCACACCCAACAAGGGUCUCCUGGGCCAUUAGCUCAGGUGGUUAGAGCGCACCCCUGAUAAGGGUGAGGUCCCUGGUUCAAGUCCAGGAUGGCCCAUUCGAUGUUUGGGGGUAUAGCUCAGUUGGUAGAGCGCCUGCUUUGCAAGCAGGAUGUCAGCGGUUCGAGUCCGCUUACCUCCACUGAUCAAUCUCCCUAACUACGAAAUUAUCAGGAUUAUUCCUGUUUGAUGUGAUUUAGAGUUGUUUUAUAUGAAUUUGACCCUAGCCUCCUAUCAUCCCACAUUUAAUUCACAACAUUAGAUUUGGUUGAUAAGAUGCUGGGCUCCACUAGUGAAUCUAAAUGUAUUCCUAGAAGUUCAGUAGAACCUUGACAACUGCAUAGGUAAGUCUGGAAAAGAGAAUUAAAGCAUCUCAUAGAACUAUUGUUCGAAAAAUUAGAAUUUCUAAUUUUUCGAAUAAUUAUCAAUUCUUGAGCAAGAGCAAAUACUCUAUUAAUUAUUUAGGUUUAAAACCUUAAUUAAUUUAUAGAGAUAAU